Molecule: small nucleolar RNA, 107 nt
Rfam family: Small nucleolar RNA snR73
GUAUAUGAUGAUUCGCACAACUCACGACGGUCAACUGUUAUCCAACAACAAUGUUAAAUCGUUGGAUAUUUGAUGAAAUACGGCUGUGACUAGCCGUGCCCCUGAAA